UGCAAAGACACCCCAACUCUAGAUCCAGACAAAGAAGGACUCAAGAACCAAAGUACACAAAAGAGGCUGUUUUGAUCCCAAAGAGGUAAAAUCCAUAUUCAGAUUCAGGCAUACAUGUCACUCUCGUGAUGGACAUCAGAAAUGGGUCUGUGAAAACCACAACAAUGAGACAAAUAUACAGCAUGGAAAAAAAAAAAGCAAAUUGCCACUGAGAG
This 215-nucleotide long non-coding RNA is filed under the name Dasypus novemcinctus (nine-banded armadillo). Its description in RNAcentral is "lncRNA (ENSDNOG00000051647.1)". Lineage: Eukaryota; Metazoa; Chordata; Mammalia; Cingulata; Dasypodidae. The record is from RNAcentral.